GACGAACGCUGGCGGCGUGCUUAACACAUGCAAGUCGAACGGAAAGGCCCUGCUUUUGUGGGGUGCUCGAGUGGCGAACGGGUGAGUAACACGUGAGUAACCUGCCCUUGACUUUGGGAUAACUUCAGGAAACUGGGGCUAAUACCGGAUAGGAGCUCCUGCUGCAUGGUGGGGGUUGGAAAGUUUCGGCGGUUGGGGAUGGACUCGCGGCUUAUCAGCUUGUUGGUGGGGUAGUGGCUUACCAAGGCUUUGACGGGUAGCCGGCCUGAGAGGGUGACCGGCCACAUUGGGACUGAGAUACGGCCCAGACUCCUACGGGAGGUAGCAGUGGGGAAUAUUGCACAAUGGGCGGAAGCCUGAUGCAGCAACGCCGCGUGCGGGAUGACGGCCUUCGGGUUGUAAACCGCUUUCGCCUGUGACGAAGCGUGAGUGAUGGUAAUGGGUAAAGAAGCACCGGCUAACUACGUG
RNAcentral lists this ribosomal RNA (468 nucleotides) under uncultured bacterium. RNAcentral's name for it is "partial 16S ribosomal RNA". It matches the Rfam family "Bacterial small subunit ribosomal RNA", at positions 28 to 507 of the family's 1533-position model. The record is from RNAcentral.